Mauremys reevesii (Reeves's turtle) is the source of this 152-nucleotide long non-coding RNA. RefSeq lists it as uncharacterized. Lineage: Eukaryota; Metazoa; Chordata; Testudines; Geoemydidae. The record is from RefSeq and is a predicted model, not a curated record. The transcript has 3 exons.
CGCGAGGGGGGCAGAGGGAAACCACCAGAGACAAACGGGUCUGUGCUCGAGUCUGUUCUCCAGGCAUCAUCUGCUUAGCAUGGACCCAGUAACUUUAAGCUGCAGUUCACCACCAGGCCAAGUACGGUGGAAACAUGAGAGAUCCUUAGAGC